CAGCCUGCCUGGCUGGCUGGCGGUUGGGAGCCCAGAAGGCUGUUUGCAUCUCAUCCUGCGGGGAUCUCUCAUCUUUUUGCAUCUCAUCUCUUUCCCACCCUCCAAGCCUCCCCACUGACUGUCCUGUCCAAGACCUCACCAUGCGACUCAGUUGGGAAGAUGAAGUAAUUUUGUUGUUGUUGUUCAGGGAGUAUCUUCUGAUCAGAAGGCAGGUGGAAGCUUUCAGCCCAGGUCUGUCUGAUCCUAUUUAUCUAAACAGCCUCUACAGAUAGGUAGCCUGCAUCCCAUUGGGUGAGAAGGUCCCUUCUCCCAGCCUCCUCCCUCCAAGAGGGCAUCUUAGUACAGGAAGUAGGAUGUAAUUCUUGUGACUUCGAGACCCCUCGCUGGUCCUUGGGCAUGUGCAGCUGGCUGCAGGGUGAUGCCCCUGGUCUACCUCCCGCCAGGUUUCCAGCUGACUCCCUCUAUUCCUGCAGGCUGCAGCCCAUCAACUGAAUCGCCACUGCUGACCGCCGAUCAUGAAGUGGCUCUGUCCUCCAUGUGGGCAGCACCUGACCACUGGCCUUUAUCUUUUCGUCACCGUGCCCCCUCGACGAGUCUGAUUGCUUUCCUCCAUGAGGCUGCACUGGAGCUGGAGAGCCCCUGCCCGACCUCAUGAGAGUUGAGAGGACAGUUGUUGAGGGGACUGUGCUCCAGGAAGGGGGAGGCAUAGCUGCCUCCCAGAGCCCCAUGUGCCCAGUUAAGGAAAGUCUGUACCCUGAUUGCACCCUUCAACUUUGGCCCCUUUCUGGGGCCAAAGCGCCAAGAGGAAAAGCCUGGGGGGGGGCAGUGCCCUUCUCCCCACUUCCCUAUUUCUUUCCGCCGUCUCCUGGGUCCAGACCAGAGUGGACACCUCUCUUACUCUGCACACAUCGCACCCUCUGCCACUGUCCAGUGUCCAGAAUUCCUGGACAGGAAGUGGAAAGGCCGGCUCCCAGGACCCCGGCCCUGGCUAUUCUGUGCAUCAGAAGUGGAAGAACACCUUGUUCUUUCCCUUGGCCUCCUUACGAAGCCGUUCCCAAGCUCCUCCUGAAAGAUGGAGGCUUUGAGCCAGCUGGCACGAUGGUCAGAUCCUCAGAAAGGAAGAGAAAGGCUCGUUGAUCAUCUAUAAAAAGCACAGUGUGGCAGCAAACCUCCCGGUCGGCACAGCUGGGAGUCCCAGGAACUAAGACCCCAGUGUCCACGGGCCUGGGGCCCCUCAUCCUGGCCCCGCUGUGGGUCCCCCACCCAAUCCUGGCCUCCCCAUGGGUCCCCCAUCCCAUCCUUCCCUCCCAUGUGUCCCCCAUCCCGUCCUGGCCUCCCCUGUGUCCCCCAUCCCGUCCUGGCCUCCCCCAGGCCCCCCAUCCCGUCCCAGCCUCCCCCAGGUCCUCCAUCCCAUCCUGGCCCACCUGUGGGCA
RNAcentral lists this long non-coding RNA (1433 nucleotides) under Capra hircus (goat). RNAcentral's name for it is "lncRNA (ENSCHIG00010029769.1)". The record is from RNAcentral. Lineage: Eukaryota; Metazoa; Chordata; Mammalia; Artiodactyla; Bovidae.